RNAcentral lists this long non-coding RNA (511 nucleotides) under Numida meleagris (helmeted guineafowl). RNAcentral describes it as "lncRNA (ENSNMEG00000003288.1)". The record is from RNAcentral. Lineage: Eukaryota; Metazoa; Chordata; Aves; Galliformes; Numididae.
CUUCAGGAGAGAACUGUUGUUCCUGGUUUUGGGACACUUGAAAGAGAGCAUCUCCCAGUGGCAAAGAUAAGAGCCCACGUCCUUCCUGCAUCCUGUGGCUGUGCAUUCUCAGCCACAAGAGUCAGCGAGUCCCCUUCCAGAGAGAAGUGAUUUGGACAAUGCAUCUUGGACUGAUGCUGCUAACCCAGCCUUAUCCAAGGGAAGUGGGUGAGGUCAGAAGACAGGGAAAGGACUUGUCUGCUGUCAGGAGGAUGGUGAAAUUGGCACAUCAGAUAGAGCUGAAUGCUGCUGUAAAGGAAGGGCAGCACGCCUACAUGUAUGGUGAAUGCCUGGCUCUUGGCUCCUACCAAUGCUUUUGCAAAGGUGAGACAGACCAGCAAGAACAAACCAGAAGGGAACAAAUUUAAAAGGAAUAACUGUCAUUUCCAGCUCUUUCCAAGUCUUCUGGGGUAAGACUUCCCCUACGACAAUUUGUUAAACAUCCACGUUGCCUUUUUCAGUCUGUUUCCUU